CCUACGGGGGGCAGCAGUGGGGGAUAUUGCACAAUGGGGGAAACCCUGAUGCAGCGACGCCGCGUGUGGGAAGACGGUCUUCUGGAUUGUAAACCACUAUCCCCAGGGACGAAAAUGACGGUACCUGGGGAGGAAGCUCCGGCUAACUACGUGCCAGCAGCCGCGGUAAUACGUAGGGGGCAAGCGUUAUCCGGAUUCACUGGGUGUAAAGGGAGCGUAGACGGCCAUGCAAGCCUGGAGUGAAAGCCCGG
RNAcentral lists this ribosomal RNA (251 nucleotides) under uncultured bacterium. RNAcentral describes it as "partial 16S ribosomal RNA". It matches the Rfam family "Bacterial small subunit ribosomal RNA", at positions 338 to 605 of the family's 1533-position model. The record is from RNAcentral.